CACAUUACAUCCAUGCCUUUCGUGACUGCAGGAAAAACACACGUGGGUUUGUAAUUUUCUUAUCUAAGGUAUCUAUUUAGAAAUGUUAUGACACAUUCUAAACAUAAUAUGUAAACCGUGUAAGCUGCGUUGCGGUCUAGCUGUGUGAAACUGAAAACAAACUGAACUAAAACAGGUUUAAAAUUUUGUUGCGCCAUUGAUUUGGAACAAGACUUUCAUUCGAUCUGUGUUGCAGAAUUCUAGACAGCACAACAACUAUCUAUUGACUUAUUCUCCUAUUGACUUGCAAGAAUUACGCAUGUCAUAAAAAACCAUCUGAUAUAUUUUAAAGGCUAGUUUAUUGUCGCUUUGUCAAUUACAUCAGUGGUUAUUGGUGUGCUGUAUGAUAGUCUUCAUGGUUAAACUUUUAACACAUCUGACUGAGGGAAAUGAAAGCAUGCUGUAAGAGAGCGGAGAUCAUAUCAUUUUAAUAGAGUUACCGUAUUUUUCGCUCCAUAAGACGCACUUUUUUUCCCCUCAAAAGUGAGGGGAAAUGUCUGUGCGUCUUAUGUAGCGAAUGUGAAGAUUUACUUACCUGUCUUGGAGCGUGGGCCGGCUUCACAGCGCGCUCCGCCGUCCAGGAACUUCUAUUUCAGGUUCCGGUUUCCGGCGGGACUGAAAGGAAGUGUCAGCACACUUCCUUUCAGUCCCGCCGGAAACCGGAACCUGAAAUAGAAGUUCCUGGACCGCGGAGCGCGCUGUGAAGCCGGCCCACGCUCCAAGACAGGUAAGUAAUUAUGGGACAAUGGGAGGGGAGACACUAUGGGAGAAGGGGAGGGGGAGACACUAUGGGAGAAGGGGAGGGGGACACUAUGGGAGGGAAACACUAUGGGAUCAGAACACUAAUGGACAAGGGUAGGAGGGGUUAAAGAACACUAUGGGACAGGGAGGAGGGGUUAACAAUCACUAUGGGACAGAGGAAAGGGGGGUUAAAGAUCAUUAUGGGACAGGGGAGAAAAAAAAAUAUUCUGAACAAACUGUCCCAUAGUAAGAAACACUAUGGAACAGUUUGUUCAGAAUAUUUUUUUUUUCUGGGUUUCCUCCUCUAAAAACUAGGUGCGUCUUAUGGUGAGGUGCGUCUUAUGGAGCGAAAAAUACGGUAAAUACAAAAAAAAAAUUGUGAUACUUGCAAAUUUUAAAAGGGAUUUGUGAGAAAGAUAAUAGCUGUAUGUACUUUAAAAGUUAAUUUUAUUGGUGAGGGGAAUGCUGGCAUGAUGGGAGUCUUUUACUAUAUUUAUUUUUAUGGUAUUUGCAUGAGUAACGGGUGUUUGAUUAGUGAGUAAUUGUGUUUACUUUUAUAUUAAACUGUAGCUUCCUUUCUACAAAUCGUGCUGGUGGAAAGUGCAUAUUUGCAGUAUAGCAAGUGGGGGUUGGGCUGUGGGAGCUUGGUGUGACACUUAUUUUGCUCAAACAGCUUGAAAAUGGCUUUACCCACUGGAGGAUAACGUCCUCAGUGUAGCAUUAUAACUUUUACAAUGGGCUGCAGUAGUUAUAGUCUUAAGACUGUCCCUUUUAAAGACUAGAUUGUUAUAAAUAUAUUUAUACAGUAUUUAGUCUCUUAAAUCAGCAGUAUCACUUUUAAGUUACAAAAAAUACACAAUUAAAAUUACUACUUAAAGAAUUGAUAGUAGCAGGUCACUCCACCCAGAACUUGUACAGGAGUGCCAGUGGCAUUGUUGGUGUUCGUUGGUUAGAUCAGGGUUACAUGUGCCUGUGUUUGACAGGCAGUCCUCCUUGUCUGCCAGCUACACAAUCGAAGAGACGCAGAAAAUAAUCUUUUCCGCUGUUGGUAGUAAUACGUCUGCACACCCAGACCUGUCAAUUCUCUUUCCUUCCUUUCAGUGCACCAGGUCUGCACUGCAUGUCUCCAAGCAUGCCGGUUCAAUAAAGUCCAAACCUCUACAAAGAAGGUGGACAACACUGAUAUAGAUAAUACACGAAUGUCUGGGGAAAUUAACGUAAACUGGAAAAAUGGCUGACUUGGAGAUUCUGUGAAGUGUGUCUAUUUUAGCCUAAAAUUUUAAUUUCCCCACAAUUCCUGUUUAAAUGAAUUACCGAGUAAGAGUCUGGCAGUGACCACAGUCACUAUCACUGCCUGUGACACAAGUAUAUCUCGCCAUGUUGCAAUGUUACAUUGUAUUUGUUUUUUGUUUUUGUUUCAUUUUUGUUUCUCAGAAACACCCUUGUUUGGAUACAGUAUAUGCAUGUCAGAUCUAGUCCAUUGCUGCCAUCUCAGCAGGUGCGUGGGUUGGUAAUUUAUCUGAAUUUCAUUUCUAGGGUUGCUCUAAGAAAUGCUAUCACUAUUGAAACCUGCAUUGCGGUCUAGUUGUGAAACUGAAAAAAAAAAAAAAAGGUUUAAACAUUUUCAUGCACCACUAAUCUGGCAAAAGACUAACUUUCCCGCAGUCAAAGUCUUAGAGAGCAAAAUAACUUGCUUUUGUUUCUGGCCUUAAAAUGUUAAUGGUCGACUCUCACCUCAAAGCUAUUCAAUAUAAAAAUGCUUCCAUCAAAUUUUGAAAGGAAAUAUAUUUUCUUUUAACCCCUUCCCAACCGUGGACGUAUUAGGUACGUCCGACAAACGGUCCUUAAGGACCACGGACAUAGUUGAUACGUCCGCAGCUAAUUAGAGCGCUGGAAGCGGUCAUGAUCGCUUCCAGCAGCUCUAAUGGUAUUGCAGCAAUGCCUCGAUGUCAAGGCAUCGUGCAGUACCUCUCCUUACUGCCGGGUGAUCGCUCCCCUUGGAGCGAUUACGUCCGGGUUGCUCCAUGUGAUGCCCAGCAGUCUUCCGAUGCUCUGCCUGUGUGCUGAGUGCCUCAAGGGGUCGAGGCACUCAGUGAAGAAAGAAGGAAGAAAAAAAAUUAAAUUAAUUAAACCUAUUAACCCCUCGCCCCCUUGACAUGUGGCUCCCAAGAUGGCGAUGCCUUUCAUCAUAGAGGCAGGCUAGGGACAUCCAAUCAGAGCUUGCUCCUAUAACAAUGUUUAUUCUAACUAUGAUCCCCAUUUGUCUGAUCAUGACAGUAUUGGUAAAUAUUGACUCUGAUCAGUGUGGAUAUCCCUCCCUCUCUUCACUUGUGUUUUAGUGAGAGAGGGAGAGAGAUCUGUGUUUUAGGUAGAGAGAUUUAGGUAGGUACCGUAUUUUUCGCUCCAUAAGACGCACUUUUUUUCCCCUCAAAAGUGAGGGGAAAUGUCUGUGCGUCUUAUGGAGCGAAUGUGAAGAUUUACUUACCUGUCUUGGAGCGUGGGCCGGCUUCACAGCGCGCUCCGCGGUCCAGGAACUUCUAUUUCAGGUUCCGGUUUCCGGCGGGACUGAAAGGAAGUGUACACACUGAGUGUGCACACUUCCUUUCAGUCCCGCCGGAAACCGGAACCUGAAAUAUUAGUUCCUGGACCGCGGAGCGCGCUGUGAAGCCAGCCCACGCUCCAAGACAGGUAAGUAAUUAUGGGACAAGGGGAGGGGGAGACACUAUGGGACAAGGGGAGGGGAGGAGACACUAUGGGACAAGGAGAGGGGGACACUAUGGGAGAAAGGGAGGGGAGGAGACACUAUGGGACAAGGGGAGGGGGAGACACUAUGGGACAAAGGGAGGGGGACACUAUGGGAGAAAGGGAGGGGAGACACUAUGGGACAAGGGGAGGGGGAGACACUAUGGGAGAAAGGGAGGGGAGACACUAUGGGACAGGGGGGGCACUAUGGGACAAGGGGAGGGGGGGACACUAUGAGACAAAGGGGAGGGGGGGACACUAUGGGACAAGGGGAGGGGGGACACUAUGGGACAAGGGGAGGGGACACACUAUGGGACAAGGGGAGGGGGAGACACUAUGGGACAAGGGCAGGGGGGGACACUAUGGGAGGGAAAGUGCACUAUGGGACAAUGGGAGGGGGGGACACUAUGGGAUCAGAACACUAAUGGACAAGGGGAGGAUGGGUUAAAGAACAUUAUGGGACAGGGUAGGAGGGGUUAACAAUCACUAUGGGACAGAGGAAAGGGGGGUUAAAGAUCAUUAUGGGACAGGGGAGAAAAAAAAAUAUUCUGAACAAACUGUCCCAUGGUAAGAAACACUAUGGAACAGUUUGUUCAGAAUAUUUUUUUUUCUGGGUUUCCUCCUCUAAAAACUAGGUGCGUCUUAUGGUGAGGUGCGUCUUAUGGAGCGAAAAAUACGGUAUUUGUAAAAUUGUGAGACCCAAAGGCUCUUUUCAGAGCCAUUAACCCCUAUCUUGCCAGUGAUAUAUAUAUAUAUAUAUAUAUAUAUAUAUAUAUAUAUAUAUAUAUAAUCACUGGCUCUUGCAAUCAACACCUUUUUGCUAUAUGUGCAUUUUUAGUGGGUCAUUUUUUAAAAUGUUUUUUUUUGUGACAGUUCAUCAAAGGAUCACUAUAUUGUCAGGAAAACAAACUUGUUUUCCUGACACUAUGUCAUCCUUGGGGGACCCUCACCCUCAGGGUCCCCCUCCAGUGGUGCUGAAGGGGUUAAAAUUUCUCAUUCAGCUUCGCAGAAGUGCCUCUAGCAGCUGUCAGGAAGACAGCCACUAGAGGUUGGAUUAACCCUGCUAUGUUUGCAUGUGAAGGGUUAAAUUUAACCUGAGGGACCUGGCGCCCAGACCACUUCAUUGAGCUGAAGUGGUCUGGGUGACUAUAGUGUCCCUUUAAGUAAAGUGAUUGUGAUCAUGUCACAGAGGAUGUAUAGCGCUGAGGAGGCGUAUAUCCUUGCGCUAGAGUCUGGCGCGUCUAUGUCUGACUCCGACCCUGAUUUUGACCCUGCCAGGUGCUCAGAUACAUCACUAGAUACAGUGUCUGCUGCUCGUAAUGUAUCUAGUUAUGAUGUAUCUGUGGCUGCUAGUCCCCCUGCCAAAAGGAGACGUGCUGCUCCAGCUGACAGUGGGUAGUGCCUCAUCGCCAGAGGCAAGAUAUCACUGCAAAUCCUGGCAUCAAUGUGGGUUUCGCAGGAUUGAGCCCUCAGCAGUUUAUGGAGGUGUUUCUGGGCGUUGAUGUAUUGGGGAACAUUGUCACCCAAACUAAUUUAUAUGCCCAUCAGUUCCGUGCUGCAAAGCCUGACUUUUUUGGCCUUAAUUUAAAAAAUUCUGGGCAUUGACUGUGCUGAUGGGCAUCAUAAAGAAGCCCUCCAGCUGCUCCUACUGGAGCAGUAGCCCCAUCGUCUCUACCCCCAUUUACUCCCAAUGUAUGUCGAGGAAGAGGUAUGAAAUGAUUCUACAUUUCAUACACUUCAACGACAACAGCCUGUGCCCCCCUAGGGAGCAUCCCCAGUUUGACAGGGCUGUAUAAAAUCCACCCCCUGAUUACCCACUUUGCUGCCAGGUUUGCAGAGGCUUAUACUCCGGGAAGGAAUAUAUGCAGGGAUGAAUCCAUGAUGAAGUAUAAUGGAAGGCUGGGAUUCAAGCAGUAUAUUCCUUCCAAGCGCUCCAGGUAUGGUGUAAAGGUGUAUAAGCUCUGUGAUAGCGAGGCUGGGUAUACUAAGACCUAGGUAUACGAGGGAAAGGAUGCCCACCUUGACCCUCCAGGUGUCCCAGAACAUAUGGGAACCAGUGGCAAGAUUGUCUGGGACCUGAUAUUGCCCCUGAUGAACAAAGGGUACUACUUGUAUACAGACAAUUUUUAACCAAGUGUCCCUUUGUUUAAGCUACUGUACUGUUUUAAUACAUUAGCUUGCGGAACAAUAAAAAAGAACUGCGCAGGUUUCCCAGGACAACUUGCACGCACCCGGCUACAAAGGGGGGAGACCUCAGCUCCGCACCAAGAGGAGCUGUUGGCAGUUAAGUACAGCGACAAGAAGGAUGUGUACCUUCUUACCACCAUCCACACUGAGAGGACUGUGGAGGUCUCUGUACCUGGCAGAGAUGAGAGCACAAGGAAGCCAGUGUGCAUCAAGGCCUAUAACCGGCUUAUGGGUGGGCUUCAUCUGGCAGAUCAUCUGCUGCAGUCCUACCUAAUUUUAUGCAAGACAAGGGCUUGGUACAAAGAGGUUGCAAUCUACUUAAUGCAGAUUGCAACCCACACACAAAAGGAAACCCCAGAAUGCAACUGACUUUUUUACAGUUUCAGCGCCAGAUCAUUUCGGGGAUUUUGUACUGUGAUGCACCUGCUCCCCGGGCGGUGAUGGGAGAGAGCAGAGUUGGGGGCUACACAUUUAUUUUUAAACCCCCCCCCUCCCCCCCCACUGCAGCAAAGCAGAAUCCUCCAAAAAGAUGCAAAGUCUGUUUUAAGAGGGGGCAGAGAAAAUAUACCGUAUAUUACUGUCCUGAUUGGCCUGGACUCUGCAUUGGGGACUGCUUCAAACGAUACCACACACUGGUCCAUUUUUUUUCAACAUUUGACAUUGUUUUUUGUUACAUUUAACCUAUGUAUGGGGGGCAUGGGUAUACUCAAGAGGCCUUGCAGAAAACAACCUGGAGUGUUUUCUUGCAAUAACCAGCAACAGGCUCUCCUAAAGUCAAAAAGCAAUGUGUGUGUAAAAUGAAAACUGAAAAAUUACCACUACACACUUUCUCCAUUUUUUUUGGCUAAAACGGUUGCAUCAAAGGCAUCAAAGCACUGCAUAUACAAUACCUCUGGGUUUCUACAUUUCAAAUAUAUACACUUUCAUGGCAAUAAAUAAAACUGGGGUACGUGAUAAGCCCCAAAGAUAGGCCUAUCAUAAGAAAUACUCUCAAUUUCAACUCAAAUUACAAGUCAUACAAUUGUAACUGAACAUUCACAAAAUCCUGGCAAACCUAUGCAUGGGGGGGCAUAGGUGUACUCAGGAGGCCUUGCAGAAAACAACCUGGAGUGUUUUUGUGCAAUAACCAAUGACAGGCUCCUAAAUCACACACAAAUGUGUUUGUAAAAAUGAAAACUGACAAAAACGAUUGCAUCAAAGGCAUCAAAACACUCCAUAUACAAUACCGUGGGGUGUCAACAUUUCAAAUAUAUGCACGCGCAUUGCAAGAAUAUAAAUUGGGAUAUCAAAAAGGCCCCCAAAAAGAAGAUAGGCAAAGAAUAUAUAUCAAAUUUGAAAAACACAUGUCAGAAGUUUGGCAUUGCACCCGCCCAAACAACCCAACAAACCUAUGCAUAGGUGGUAUCAUGGUACACAGAAAAUGUUGCUGAACACAUAUUGGGGUGUUCUGUGGCAGUAACACAUAUCAGGAACUGAGAAUCCAUGCUUAAAAUAGAAUGUGUGUGAAAAAUAACACAAUGACUACCCAAACGUUUGACAGAGACUGGUGGUAGAAUUAGUGCAUGGAAAGUGUUAAAAUACCACCAUUUGAAAUACCCUAGGGUAUCUACUUUUCAAAAACAUAUGGUUUGAUGGGGGCAAAUUACAUUGGCUGGCUUCAAAAAUGUCCCAAGUGGGACAUGGGUGUCUGAUGACCAGCUGUGAAAAUUCCUAAUAAUUUGGAAAACUGGAAUGUGCACCCUCCAAAUAAGGUCUUUUAGCCCCCAGAGAACCCAACACACCUAUACAUGGGGGAUAUCACUGUACUCAGGAGAUGUUGCUGAACACAUAUUGGGGUGUUCUUUGGCAGUAACCCUUAAAUGCAGUAUGGUCUUUGUUAAUCUUUGUGGGAAGACCAUUGAGACUAAUAUUUGUUUUUUAAACACUGUCAGACCCAAGGUGCAUGCAUAUGGUUGAAGGAUCUUGACAUAUGGUAAGGAUGAGAUGUGUGGUUUUUGUUAUUUAUUUAUAUUUUUAUUGAGGUUAUAGUACACUAACAUGCUUGAAUUUCCAGCAUGCGGUUGAAUAACAGUAAGACUUGUACAGAAUAAAUGUCAGGAUCUCAACUGUCAGAAAAAACUUGAUGAAAGGAUUGUAUUGCAUACUUUUGAGGUGACAGUUGUUUUUUUUUUUUUUUGUUUUUUUUUUUUUUAGGUCUGUUCCUUCUACCAGUAGUAGAUUUACAAGCUGAUGAUAUAGAGAUUUUGUCAGACUUCCAUACAAAAAAGUUAAAACAAAACUGAUCUAUAUAAUUUAUAACAUAAACAUGUGUGGUAAAAUCCUGAAACAGAACACAUUAGAGGAUUUUAUCCAGUUUGUCUUUUUAUCCUAAAAUGUGAAAUUCUUGACAAUUUGCAAUUCAGUGAAUAAAUUUAUACAAACCUACACCAUAUCACCAUUUAUAACAUUUUAAAAAAAACAAAAAAAAACCUGUAACCAUGUUAUAUUUGCUCGUGCAUUGUUUAUAUUAUUAUUUCUUUCUUUUAUUGCAGUGUAUUGGUUUUAACUGUGUUCUCAAUCCCUUGUCUAGAAAUUGUCCAUGAAGUGAACAUAUUUGGAUGCCUCUCCCUGCCGUCCUGUGAGAGUUCGAGUCAAUUGCCACCAUCUCUGUAAGAGCAUGAGUUUGUAGUAUCACAUUUGAUUUUUAGGUAUGCCCUGACAAGUUAUACUACUACUAACCUACUACUACUAACCUCCACUGAAAAAUGAACGAUAUAAAGGUUAAAAGGGGGUAGGGGGCAUACCACACAAGACAACACAUGUUUAUAACUCAUGUUAUUGCUUAUUGAUUAAGAACAAACAUCGUUUUUUUGUCUGCAGUAUUUAAAAGCUUAGAGAGCAUAACAACUCUCUUUUCUGGUCUUAAGGGAAAACCGCCACCUCAAAACUAAUUUGUUUUAUAAAAUAAUCAUUUCAUGAAGCUUGGAAAGGAGAUAUAUAUAUAUAUAUAUUCCUCCACUAUUUCCUAUGCUACUCGAGUAUAUAAAAGAGUAAGGUAAAGUGCCAGCAUGCAUUAAAAAAAAACCAACUAACAACAACAUAAGAAAGUGCAAGUCUGUGACUGCAAGACUGUAAAAGCAGUCCUUUAAAGCCCCCCUAUGUAGUGUACUCACAAGCUGUAGGGGAAGAAGGUGGUGGUGAAUACAAUUGUUCAGUGUAUAGAACGCUAGUGAAAGCCCAAUCAUGCAGAGAGAAAGAUUUUAUGGACAUUAUAAUUAUUAAGGGACUUUAGCCCAUUCAUCAAAACUUUUUAUUUAUUUAUUUUGAAAACUUGGGUGUUGUAUAGACUACUCGUGAAAUUGUUUUAAUUUCUUAUGUUUAUUUUUUUUAUAUUUUGGGCAUAGUUCCUUUAUUGUGUAUAUGGGUGUAUUUUAUUUAUUGUUUUUGUUUAUAUAUAUCUUUUUUUUUUUUCUAUUUUUAUAUACUUUCAGUUAUUGAUAAUUUUAUGUUAGCAUGGUUGUUUACUGUGAAAAAGUAAAAAAAAUACUGUAACACCACUCUUCCUAUCAUUUACAGGUGAAUGUUGACUGUGUUUAUUUGUGGUUUGUGCUGGCAAUAUGUGAUUGUGAUACACUUUCUGAUACAUACACAAACAUGCUGCACAAUGACACACAACAUGACACUAACAUGCGCACACACAAACUACACAUUCUCUCACACUAACACACCGCACAUUCCAUUAAGUUAUUUCAAUUACCAGCAGUUGCAUAGAUGUUUCAUCUCUCUCUGCCAUGCAUAGUGUGUCCGCCGCCGGGAUAUGACACCACGCUGUAUCUUGAUGGCUUCCAGCCCUGUGCAAUGCAAAGAGCAUCUGUCUACAGCCUCCACGUAAUCAAUAAUGAACAAACAGUCCGCCAGAAUGUUUCUACACCUGCCGAGAUACACCCCCUGUGGGGCACCAAUCCAGUGGCAGGGCUAAAAUAAUUUUUUUUUAAACUUCCUUUCCGGUGACCAGAACUGCCUGUCUCAGACAUGAGGGGUAUAUAAAUUCCAGAAUCCUAUGGGCACAUACUACUUGUUAUGAUAAUGGUCUGUGUGUAAACAGUGCUGCCCUGUAGUUUGAAGACAAACCUUUUAUUCUAGAUUUUAUUUGGAAUCUCUGUGUAUAUGAUCACUCCUGGCAGGACAUUCCAGGUAGAGUCCAACGGCAUCAAGACCUGGCAACCUUGCAACAAAUACUGUUUUAUCACUAGAAAUCUAAAAGUAAAACACCGGUUGGUUCCCACAUUGGUCUGUAUACUAAACUGUCCAAACAUUGUUCAUCUUCUUGAGUACUUGAAAUGAAUGCAUCGUACUGUGACAUCGGAUGACUUGGCAUGGAAUAUUAAAAAAUGUUUUUUUAUCUUUCAGUGUAAUGUCACAUGAUGCUAUGUAAGAUUAAUUUGGCCAACUGUCUGCUUUGACGAUUAUCUUCAUAGUUGGAUGUCAGCAUGAGUCUGAGUGAUUUUUGUGUGUGUAUUUUUGGUAUCACUGGUGAGACAUUAUUAAUGGCAUGUUUGAAAGCUGUGUGAUUAGCUAGUAAUUGUGUUCGCUUACUUAUUGAAAUGCUGCUGUUUCACAAAUCGUGUUGUGUGUGCAUGUUCACUAUAGCAUGUGUCUUCCAUUACCUUCUGCUGUG
This 10366-nucleotide long non-coding RNA is filed under the name Pelobates cultripes (western spadefoot toad). The stretch from base 4222 to 4268 matches the Rfam family "Histone 3' UTR stem-loop". Lineage: Eukaryota; Metazoa; Chordata; Amphibia; Anura; Pelobatidae. The record is from RNAcentral.